RNAcentral lists this ribosomal RNA (551 nucleotides) under Neofusicoccum parvum. RNAcentral describes it as "eukaryotic LSU rRNA". The stretch from base 180 to 333 matches the Rfam family "5.8S ribosomal RNA". Lineage: Eukaryota; Fungi; Ascomycota; Dothideomycetes; Botryosphaeriales; Botryosphaeriaceae. The record is from RNAcentral.
UUCGGGGUUGUUUCGAGCUCGGCUCGACUCUCCCACCCAAUGUGUACCUACCUCUGUUGCUUUGGCGGGCCGCGGUCCUCCGCACCGGCGCCCUUCGGGGGGCUGGCCAGCGCCCGCCAGAGGACCAUAAAACUCCAGUCAGUGAACUUCGCAGUCUGAAAAACAAGUUAAUAAACUAAAACUUUCAACAACGGAUCUCUUGGUUCUGGCAUCGAUGAAGAACGCAGCGAAAUGCGAUAAGUAAUGUGAAUUGCAGAAUUCAGUGAAUCAUCGAAUCUUUGAACGCACAUUGCGCCCCUUGGUAUUCCGAGGGGCAUGCCUGUUCGAGCGUCAUUUCAACCCUCAAGCUCUGCUUGGUAUUGGGCCCCGUCCUCCACGGACGCGCCUUAAAGACCUCGGCGGUGGCGUCUUGCCUCAAGCGUAGUAGAAAACACCUCGCUUUGGAGCGCACGGCGUCGCCCGCCGGACGAACCUUUGAAUUAUUUCUCAAGGUUGACCUCGGAUCAGGUAGGGAUACCCGCUGAACUUAAGCAUAUCAAUAAGCGGAGGAA